Eptesicus fuscus (big brown bat) is the source of this 188-nucleotide small nuclear RNA. RefSeq annotates it as U2 spliceosomal RNA. The record is from RefSeq and is a predicted model, not a curated record. NCBI's taxonomy places the organism in Eukaryota, Metazoa, Chordata, Mammalia, Chiroptera, Vespertilionidae. The transcript has a single exon.
AUGGCUUCUCGGCCUUUUGGCUACGAUCGAGUGUAGUCUCUGUUCUUAGCAGUUUAAAAGUCAGGCCUGUUUUGCAUUCUUUUCCAUGAGACAUUUUAAUUGAUUUUAAUGCAGAUGUGCUAUUUUAAAUGACUCUUCCAGGAAAACAUCCCCUUCCCUGUCCCACCUGGGGUUUGGAAAGCCCUCUA